Long non-coding RNA from Gambusia affinis (western mosquitofish), 266 nucleotides. RefSeq lists it as uncharacterized. Lineage: Eukaryota; Metazoa; Chordata; Actinopteri; Cyprinodontiformes; Poeciliidae. The record is from RefSeq and is a predicted model, not a curated record. The transcript has 3 exons.
AAAAAAUUUAAACAACAGACUGAGAGCCAACAAACGGAGUGGAGCCACACCUGAACAGCCAAUGUGAUCAUGUUGAUCUGGGUGGAAUCCACAUCCAGAGGUUCUGCUGCUGUCUGGACCGUCCUGCCAUCCAACCGGGUCGUGACCCCAGUCUGGUGUUCAGAUGUUCUUCUUCAUCUGUUUGGAUCGUUUGAACAAACUAGACCAUCUGAACCGACCCAUCAGAACUCAGUGGAGGUGGUGGAGGAAGAGGAAGAGGAAGAGGA